UACGAAAGUAGGCUUCCGCAAGGACAUCUGUAGAGGUGCUGCAUGGCUGUCGUCAGCUCGUGUCGUGAGAUGUUGGGAAAAAAACCCGCAACGAGCGCAACCCUUGUCUUCUGUUGCCAUCGGGUUAUGCCGGGCACUCUGAAGAGACUGCCGGUGACAAACCGGAGGAAGGUGGGGAUGACGUCAAGUCAGCAUGGCCUUUAUGUCUGGGGCCACACACGUGCUACAAUGGCCGGUACAAACCGUCGCGAUCUCGCGAGAGGGAGCUAAUCGGAGAAAGCCGGUCUCAGUUCGGAUUGUACCCUCUAUUUUUCGCCUGCAUGAAGUUGGAAUCGCUAGUAAUCGCGGAUCAGCACGCCGCGGUGAAUACGUUCCC
RNAcentral lists this ribosomal RNA (376 nucleotides) under uncultured Acidobacteriota bacterium. RNAcentral describes it as "bacterial SSU rRNA". It matches the Rfam family "Bacterial small subunit ribosomal RNA", at positions 1000 to 1375 of the family's 1533-position model. Lineage: Bacteria; Pseudomonadati; Acidobacteriota. The record is from RNAcentral.